Molecule: ribosomal RNA, 164 nt
Filed under: Heliconia rostrata
Lineage: Eukaryota; Viridiplantae; Streptophyta; Magnoliopsida; Zingiberales; Heliconiaceae
Description: 5.8S ribosomal RNA
Rfam family: 5.8S ribosomal RNA
About the family: 5.8S ribosomal RNA (5.8S rRNA) is a component of the large subunit of the eukaryotic ribosome. It is transcribed by RNA polymerase I as part of the 45S precursor that also contains 18S and 28S rRNA. Functionally, it is thought that 5.8S rRNA may be involved in ribosome translocation.
Source: RNAcentral
CGAACGACUCUCGGCAACGGAUAUCUCGGCUCUCGCAUCGAUGAAGAACGUAGCGAAAUGCGAUACCUGGUGUGAAUUGCAGAAUCCCGCGAACCAUCGAGUCUUUGAAGGCAAGUUGCGCCCGAGGCCAUCCGGUCGAGGGCACGCCUGCCUGGGCGUCACGC